This 506-nucleotide ribosomal RNA is filed under the name uncultured bacterium. RNAcentral's name for it is "partial 16S ribosomal RNA". It matches the Rfam family "Bacterial small subunit ribosomal RNA", at positions 28 to 523 of the family's 1533-position model. The record is from RNAcentral.
GAUGAACGCUAGCUACAGGCUUAACACAUGCAAGUCGAGGGGUAACAAGAGAAAAGCUUGCUUUUCUUGUUGACGACCGGCGCACGGGUGAGUAACGCGUAUCCAACCUGCCUAUAACUAGGGAAUAACCUUGCGAAAGUAAGACUAAUACCCUAUGAUUUCCUUUGAUGACAUCAGAUUAGGAAUAAAGAUUUAUCGGUUAUAGAUGGGGAUGCGUCUGAUUAGCUUGUUGGCGGGGUAACGGCCGACCAAGGCAACGAUCAGUAGGGGUUCUUAGAGGAAGGUCCCCCAGAUUGGAGCGGAGACUCGGUCCAAACUCCUACGGGAGGCAGCAGUGAGGGAUAUUGGUCAAUAGGCGGAAGCCUGAACCAGCCAAGUAGCGUGCGGGAUGACGGCCCUAUGGGUUGUAAACUGCUUUUAUACAGGAAUAAAGUUAGCCACGUGUGGUUAUUUGUAGGUACUGUAUGAAUAAGGACCGGCUAAUUCCGUGCCAGCCGCCGCAGUAA